Molecule: ribosomal RNA, 496 nt
Filed under: uncultured soil bacterium
Lineage: Bacteria
Description: bacterial SSU rRNA
Rfam family: Bacterial small subunit ribosomal RNA
Source: RNAcentral
CGGACGGCUGAGUAACGCGUAGGUGACCUGCCCCGAAGUGCGGAAUAACUGUCCGAAAGGGUGGCUAAUACCGCAUGUGGUGUCUUCAGUCAAAGCCGCGCUUCGGGAGGGGCCUGCGUCCGAUUAGCUCGUUGGUGGGGUAACGGCUCACCAAGGCGACGAUCGGUAGGUGGUCUGAGAGGACGAUCACCCAGACUGGGACUGAGACACUUUCCAGACUCCUACGGGAGGCAGCAGUCGUGAAUUUUGGGCAAUGGGCGAAAGCCUGACCCAGCAACGCCGCGUGAGGGAUGAAGGCCUUCGGGUCGUAAACCUCUUUUCUCAGGGACGAUUGACGGUACCUGAGGAAGAAGCCACGGCUAACUACGUGCCAGCAGCCGCGGUAAUACGUAGGUGGCGAGCGUUGUCCGGAUUUACUGGGCGUAAAGAGCGCGCAGGCGGUCGUACAAGUCGAAUGUGAAAGCCCCCGGCUCAACUGGGGAGGGUCAUUCGAUAC